AGAGUUUGAUCCUGGCUCAGGAUGAACGCUAGCGGCAGGCCUAACACAUGCAAGUCGAGGGGUAACAGGUGUAGCAAUACAUGCUGACGACCGGCGCACGGGUGAGUAACGCGUAUGCAACCUACCUUUAACAGGAGAAUAGCCCCGAGAAAUCGGGAUUAAUACUCCAUAUCAUUUAUGAAUCGCAUGGUUUAUAAAUAAAAGUUCAGACGGUUAAAGAUGGGCAUGCGUGACAUUAGCUGGUUGGUAGGGUAACGGCCUACCAAGGCUACGAUGUCUAGGGGUUCUGAGAGGAAGGUCCCCCACACUGGUACUGAGACACGGACCAGACUCCUACGGGAGGCAGCAGUGAGGAAUAUUGGUCAAUGGGCGCGAGCCUGAACCAGCCAUCCCGCGUGCAGGAAGACGGCCCUAUGGGUUGUAAACUGCUUUUGUGCAGGAAGAAUGUGCCCAUCGUGAUGGGUAGUGACGGUACUGCAUGAAUAAGCACCGGCUAACUCCGUGCCAGCAGCCGCGGUAAUACGGAGGGUGCAAGCGUUAUCCGGAUUUAUUGGGUUUAAAGGGUGCGUAGGCGGUAAAAUAAGUCAGUGGUGAAAAGCUGCAGCUCAACUGUAGUCCUGCCAUUGAAACUGUUUUACUUGAGUAACCAUGAGGUAGGCGGAAUGUGUAGUGUAGCGGUGAAAUGCUUAGAUAUUACACAGAACACCGAUUGCGUAGGCAGCUUACUAGAGGUUCACUGACGCUGAUGCACGAAAGCGUGGGGAUCAAACAGGAUUAGAUACCCUGGUAGUCC
Molecule: ribosomal RNA, 793 nt
Filed under: uncultured bacterium
Lineage: Bacteria
Description: bacterial SSU rRNA
Rfam family: Bacterial small subunit ribosomal RNA
Source: RNAcentral